GUACCUUGUGAAACAACUACUUGCUUCUUUAUCUUAUUUUUAGGCCUGUUUGGAUCAAGAGUGGCUAUAUAUGUAGGACAAUUCCUUUUUCAAUAAUCCAACUUCUUAUAGAAGAAGCAUUCUAUCUGGCUCUUAUCAACUUUUGAUGAUUUGCUCUGCUUAGGAUUGACGGCAUGAGAUUUCUAUAUUUUUUUCUUCUUUUCUCUCUUAGA
This 212-nucleotide long non-coding RNA is filed under the name Elaeis guineensis (African oil palm). RNAcentral's name for it is "long non-coding RNA (EGUI_LNC066498)". Lineage: Eukaryota; Viridiplantae; Streptophyta; Magnoliopsida; Arecales; Arecaceae. The record is from RNAcentral.